Non-coding RNA from Physcomitrium patens, 2261 nucleotides. The record is from RefSeq and is a predicted model, not a curated record. Lineage: Eukaryota; Viridiplantae; Streptophyta; Bryopsida; Funariales; Funariaceae.
AUGUAUUGGUAUGUAAGGUAAAAAAUAUCCAAAUAAAAAUAUAUAAAUUUUUAAAUCAUCUAAGUCAUUUCAGCUCAUGUUAUUGAUAAUUAACAUAAGGUCAAAUUCUUCUUUUAUUUCUAUUACAAUAAUAGUUUUAUUAAACAUCCAACGAACGAAGUGAUCACCGACCAACGAACGAAGUGAGCACGAACCAACGAACGAAUUGCCAUUCCACCAACGAGUCAGUGGCAACGAGUCGAGGCGCGUGGACGGGUUUACGUGAACAGUUUUCGUGUGAUGAUGGUAAGGACCUCUGGCGUGGUCUGGCUCCCCGUUGAAUUCGCACAAUCCUCGCCCCGACUCCCUUUCUGACUGCAAUUUCGAGCGGCUCUUCAUGGAAAUUGGUUGCGAAUCUGUGAAUGGAAUCAAAGUUGCCGACAUAGGAAUAGCAAGGCGUGGUCGUGAUUACGUCGUGAGCGUCGGGGAUUCUCUCGCGAUUCCUCGGAGCUCCGUCUUCUUCCUUAAAUUGGCGAUGAGGCAGUGAAGUCGGUGUCGAAGGGUCGCGCUUCUGUUCGGAACAUUCACCAAAGUGGGUUCCUCUCCGUCCGUUUUGGUGAUCAAUUGCUGAAUUGAGUAAUGGCGUGCAUUCCCAGGCCACAGCAUGGAUGCCCUGUGCAAAGGAGAUAGUUUUCCGUUUUUCCUUGGAACAAGGUAUGGCCUUUUUUUUAAAUUAAUGUCGUGAAGUUUACUUUCGAGUGAAACAGUCGAUGGCGUCGGAUCUUAGAGUAAAUUAUGAACGAGCAAAGGAUAAAUCGGACCGGCAAAAUUUGUCGUAUAUGUGAAAAGAGUCGGAAUGCCGGUCCCGACAAUUUCCAAUCUCAUAGGUCUAAACAUCGUGCUUAGUUUACUCAUGUACGCGUUUCCCACGCGCAAGCUAAUUUGCUGGUCGAUGACUCUGCCUUGGUGAAAGAGUUUUGCUGGACGUGAGGGGGUGCUUCUUAGUGAGGGCGAACGUCUACAAUGUCCCGAUGCCCUUUGAUGAAACGAUGGAUGACUGAAUUGGUGUCGAAUCAAUAACGUGUUGGAAGGAUAGAAUUUCGACGCAUCACUGUUAUAAACCUUAAGCAUUCCUCUGAAACAAAAAUUCUGAAAUUAAGCUUUUCCCUUGCAUUUCACAGUUGAAUUGUGAAGUUGAUUAUCUUCUUAAUUCCCCACAGGUUUUAACCCUUCUAAUGGAGGAAAAGAUUAGGAUUAGUAAACCAUUGGCUAGCUGCUUCCGUUGGGAUAGGUUCGUGACAUGCAAUAAUUUUCUGGGGAGACAUGAAAGUCAAUUAUGCAGAGACUUCAAGCUGGACCAGCAAAGGUGUAGUCCGCUUAUGAACAUACUCUUUAUACUGCAACCUGCAAGAAUUCUUUGCAAUUAAUCUAGAAGAGGAUAAGUUUAAUACUAUUGUUUCUGAGCUUCAUUUCCUAGGGGAGGAGCUAUUGCUGAUGAUGACACGAUUUAACAGAUGUUUAGACCGAUUUAUUUGUAAAUUUUAUGAAGUGAUGUUUCGACUGCAGCUCUGAGCUUACCAAGAUUCAAGAAUGGAUCUAAUUUGAUUGGCACCUCGCAAGGGUCACUCUUGGCUUUACAACAAUAUAGAAGAAGGUGACUACUUGGCGUGUACCCUGGUUGCUGAGUCGAUAUUUUUUGUCAAGAUUACAACAAACAAGGCUGUGAAAAGUCUGUUUCCUUACUCGAUUCGAAUGCUGAAGUGUCUUUACUGGCUGCCAAAACUCAAUAUGAUGAUGGAUUGUAUUACAAAUUAUCUCUUUGGAGCUCCUCGGACAAGGCUGAUGAAGUCCUUAUUUCAAAAGGAGGGGAAAAACGUAGAAUGAAGCAGUACAAGAGUAAUACUCUUUUUGCUUUCAAAAUACUUCCCUAUAUUCAUCAGCAGGAACCAAAGACCUCGGAUGCUGGGAUUAAAGAGAUAGACAUGAAUAUUCACCAUCUUGUGGGUCUCGACAAAUCUAUAACAAAAGUUCAAGCCAGCGUCUGUCACUUAGGAGAAGAACGUUGUUCUAAAGAAUUAAUUGAAAGAAUAAUCCAAUAGGGAAUGCCAUUAAUUCUUGAGCCUGCCGAAUGUAGUGUAUCUGAUAUAUCUUACCCUCAUGUAUUUUACAGUAAUAAACUAGUACAUAUACAUAUUCUAGUUCUUGUGGUAGCACACAAUCAAUGUUACAAAAUGGACAUUCAUUUAUGUUGCAAAUACAAAUGUGCCAAACACUUUGUGGAA